UUAUUUUGUCAAUGGCAAAGUGUUUUGUGAAGAAGACUUCCUGUACUCUGGUUUCCAGCAGUCGGCUGACAGGUGUUUUCUUUGUGGACAUCUGAUCAUGGACAUGAUCCUGCAAGCCCUGGGGAAGUCCUACCACCCCGGCUGUUUCCGCUGUGUCAUCUGUAAUGAGUGUUUGGAUGGGGUGCCCUUCACCGUGGACUCAGAGAACAAGAUCUACUGUGUCCGAGAUUACCACAAGGUGCUGGCCCCCAAGUGUGCAGCCUGUGGGCUUCCCAUCCUUCCACCUGAGGGCUCAGAUGAGACCAUCCGUGUCGUGUCCAUGGACAGAGACUACCACGUGGAGUGUUACCACUGCGAGGUAGACCCCUCCCCACCCAGCCCCCAAAGCCCAUUGUAGACAUCCAAGAGAAAAGCAUCCUGCGUUGACUGGGGCAAGAGGCAGUCAACAAGAUUCUGGCAAGGGUCAGCCCUCUAGAGCUUCUGUAGGAAAUGGAAUGAAGGCUGGUUCUUGGG
RNAcentral lists this small RNA (513 nucleotides) under Pan troglodytes (chimpanzee). RNAcentral's name for it is "retained intron". The record is from RNAcentral. Lineage: Eukaryota; Metazoa; Chordata; Mammalia; Primates; Hominidae.